UACGAAGGGUGGAAGCGUUAUUCGGAAUUACUGGGCGUAAAGCGCGUGUAGGUGGUCUGUUAAGUUGGAUGUGAAAGCCCCGGGCUCAACCUGGGAAUUGCAUCCAAAACUGGCAAGCUAGAGUAUGGUAGAGGGCGGUGGAAUUUCCUGUGUAGCGGUGAAAUGCGUAGAUAUAGGAAGGAACACCAGUGGCGAAGGCGACCACCUGGGCUAAUACUGACACUGAGGUGCGAAAGCGUGGGGAGCAAACAGG
Molecule: unclassified non-coding RNA, 253 nt
Filed under: uncultured Pseudomonadaceae bacterium
Lineage: Bacteria; Pseudomonadati; Pseudomonadota; Gammaproteobacteria; Pseudomonadales; Pseudomonadaceae
Description: contains 16S-23S intergenic spacer region
Rfam family: Bacterial small subunit ribosomal RNA
Source: RNAcentral